RNAcentral lists this ribosomal RNA (377 nucleotides) under uncultured eukaryote. Its description in RNAcentral is "partial 18S ribosomal RNA". It matches the Rfam family "Eukaryotic small subunit ribosomal RNA", at positions 592 to 976 of the family's 1831-position model. The record is from RNAcentral.
CAAUAGCGUAUAUUAAAGUUGUUGCAGUUAAAAAGCUCGUAGUUGGAUUUCGGGGCAGCCUGGCUGGUCCGCCGCAAGGCGAGUACUGGUCAGCCGCCCUUCCUCUCGAAAGCCCCGACUGCUCUUCGUUGCAGUGGUCGGGUAGUUCGGGACGUUUACUUUGAAAAAAUUAGAGUGUUCAAGGCAGGCCUACGCCUGAAUACAUUAGCAUGGAAUAAUGGAAGAGGACCUCGGUCCUAUUUUGUUGGUUUCCAGGGCCGAAGUAAUGAUUAAGAGGGACAGUUGGGGGCAUUCGUAUUUAAUUGUCAGAGGUGAAAUUCUCGGAUUUAUGAAAGACGAACAACUGCGAAAGCAUUUGCCAAGGAUGUCUUCAUUAA